RNAcentral lists this ribosomal RNA (474 nucleotides) under uncultured bacterium. Its description in RNAcentral is "SSU rRNA". It matches the Rfam family "Bacterial small subunit ribosomal RNA", at positions 26 to 521 of the family's 1533-position model. The record is from RNAcentral.
AGGAUGAACGCUGGCGGCGUGCCUAACACAUGCAAGUCGAACGUCCUGUCUCGCAAGAGGCAGGGAGUGGCGGACGGGUGAGUACCACGUGGGUCAUCUACCGUGAGGUGAGGAAUACCGGCGAGAAAUCGCCGACAAGACCGCAUAGCCUCGGUGCAAGUCGAGGAAAGCUCUCUCGAGAGAGGGAGCGCCACACGAGGAGCCUGCGCCCGAUUAGCUAGCUGGUGGAGUAAUGGUUCACCAGGGCGACGAUCGGUAGCUGGUCUGAGAGGACGAUCAGCCACACUGGGAUUGAGAACGGCCCAGACUCCUACGGGGGGCAGCAGUGAGGAAUUUUCGUCAAUGGGGGCAACCCUGAACGAGCAACGCCGCGUGCAGGAAGAAGGUUUUCGGAUCGUAAACUGACUUUCUCGGGGAAGAGAACGGAGGUACCCGAGGAAUCAGCCCGGCUAACUACGUGCCAGCAGCCGACGU